UGCCAGCAGCCGCGGUAAGACGAAGGUGGCUAGCGUUAUUCGGAUUUACUGGGCAUAAAGCGCGCGUAGGCGGCCUGGUCAGUCGGAGGUGAAAUCCCACAGCUCAACUGUGGAACUGCCCCCGAUACUGCCAGGCUUGAGUGCAGGAGGGGUGACCGGAACUCCAGGUGUAGCGGUGAAAUGCGUAGAUAUCUGGAGGAACACCAGAGGCGAAGGCGGGUCACUGGACUGCAACUGACGCUGAGGUGCGAAAGCUAGGGGAGCGAACCGGAUUAGAUA
This 279-nucleotide ribosomal RNA is filed under the name uncultured bacterium. Its description in RNAcentral is "partial 16S ribosomal RNA". It matches the Rfam family "Bacterial small subunit ribosomal RNA", at positions 506 to 784 of the family's 1533-position model. The record is from RNAcentral.